GAUCAUUACAGUAUGUUCUGUAGAUCUGGUGUCUUGGAUAAAACCGUGGGGAUGGAAGCUUUUAAAACAGCUGCUCCCCCAUGUGGCCCGCAAGGGAAUCCAGCACCGCCCAACCUUGCUAAUUAUUAAAAUAUCGUUGCCUCGGCGGGUUUGCCUGCCGGCGGAUAAUUUAAACUCUUUUUUAAACCACAAUUAUUGUAACAGUCUGAGCAAAUAUUUAAUAAAUAUUAAAACUUUCAACAACGGAUCUCUUGGUUCUGGCAUCGAUGAAGAACGCAGCGAAAUGCGAUAAGUAGUGUGAAUUGCAGAAUUCAGUGAAUCAUCGAAUCUUUGAACGCACAUUGCGCCCCUCGGUAUCCCGGGGGGCAUGCCUGUUCGAGCGUCAUUUCUACCACUCAAGCCUAGCUUGGUAUUGGGCGUCGUUGCUUUUUAAAAGCAAACGUGCCUUAAAUGUAGACGGCGGCAAGCACCAGUUCCGAGCGUAGCAGAAAACUCGCUUUGGGAGCCUUGGGGCAUUGUCAACCGCACAAGUUUUUUACAAAGUUUGACCUCGGAUCAGGCAGGGAUACCCGCUGAACUUAAGCAUAUCAAUAAGCGGAGGAAAAGAAACCAACAGGGAUUGCCUUAGUAACGGCGAGUGAAGCGGCAAUAGCUCAAAUUUGAAAUCUGGCGUCUUUGGGCGUCCGAGUUGUAAUUUGUAGAGGAUGUUUCGGUAUUGGCACCGGUCUAAGUCCCUUGGAACAGGGCGUCGCAGAGGGUGAGAGUCCCGUACGCGACCGGCUGUCUUUGCCAUGUGAAACUCCUUCGACGAGUCGAGUUGUUUGGGAAUGCAGCUCUAAUUGGGAGGUAAAUUUCUUCUAAAGCUAAAUACUGGCCAGAGACCGAUAGCGCACAAGUAGAGUGAUCGAAAGAUGAAAAGCACUUUGGAAAGAGAGUUAAAAAGUACGUGAAAUUGUUGAAAGGGAAGCGCUUGCAAUCAGACCUGCUUGUAGUUGUUCAUCCAAGUUUCUACCUGGUGCACUCUUCUGCAAGUCAGGCCAGUAUCAGUUCGGGCGGCUGAAUAAAGGCUUCAGAAAUGUAGCUCUUUUCGGAGAGUGUUAUAGCCUGUUGCGCAAUGCAGCCAGCCCGGAU
This 1131-nucleotide ribosomal RNA is filed under the name Dothideomycetes sp. genotype 512. RNAcentral describes it as "eukaryotic LSU rRNA". The stretch from base 546 to 1131 matches the Rfam family "Eukaryotic large subunit ribosomal RNA", at positions 1 to 589 of the family's 3401-position model. Lineage: Eukaryota; Fungi; Ascomycota; Dothideomycetes. The record is from RNAcentral.